RNA transcript from Triticum dicoccoides, 1151 nucleotides. RefSeq lists it as uncharacterized. Lineage: Eukaryota; Viridiplantae; Streptophyta; Magnoliopsida; Poales; Poaceae. The record is from RefSeq and is a predicted model, not a curated record. The transcript has 7 exons.
GGCCCGUAGGUGAAGCAAACCCGCGCUCAAUGUACCGCGGGAGUGCGGCUCUGCUUUUCCUCCGGCAGUAGGCGGCCGCCGCCGCGCCUCCCGCGCCCUCGCCGCCUCGUCUUCUCCGCGUUUAAGCGAAACUGAACUGCAAGUUCGAGGCGUACGCGCCUCGCGUUGCGGGUUUUCAGGCGGCAGACAGAGGUGUCGACGGCCGGACCAUGGAGCGGCGGCCCUGCGAAAUCCAGAUCGACGAUGAAUCGGCUGCUUCAUUGGCUAUAGGAAAGGGAUCACCCUGCAAACACGAUGGCAAGACAAGGAAAUAUUCAAGGCCAGAACUUCCAGAGGUGAGUCUUUAUUCCAUGGUGACAAUCUUCAUGAGCAUUCUAUACAAGAGGUUGAUAUGGACACAGAGGAUACCGAUGACGCUGAUGAUACAGCAGUUAACACCCAGUCUGGAAGCUCAAAGAAGGCCAUACCUGAAUCAGCAGAUGAUGUACCUGAUCAAGGAGGCAAAACUAGGAACUGGGAGCUUGGCUAUGGAGAAACAGAGCUGGAUAUCGCUAUCGCGUUCUCAAUGUGAAUGAAAUGUCUCAGUGCUACUAUGGAGUCUCACCCUUUCUUCUGUCAAAUUUGGAACAACUUCAUGGCCUGAUCAAGAGAAAAACUCUGGUUACUCUGUUUUCACGAAUUACUAUCUAACUGGACGAGUUCGGAUAUCGUUUUUCCAGCUGUGCUGCUUUGGAGCAGUUGAAACUCAGGAGAUGCCCCAAGAUAACUUGCUUGAAGAUACCUUCUCAGCAGCAGCGGCUCAGCUACCUGCAAGUGUUAGGAUGCCACAAACUGCGGAUGAUAAAGAUCGAAGCUCCAAAUAUUUGUAGUUUUCACUUUAUUACAUUUGACCAAGUAGAGGUCUCACUUUGGAGAAUCAUUGCGACUGAAGAAUGUCGAUAUGAUCUGUUGCCGCCUCCUCCAUUAUGCACUUGAAGAGCUGCCAUCAAUUGCACCGAAUCUUGAAACUUUUAGCAUACACUCACUUCGUCGGCCAUAUUCUAAAACUUCUCAUGAUGUUUUUCUUGGAAGGGAACCUUUUGGGAUUAUUCAGUAUCAUUAUGCAUAGAACAAUUGUGUACCUUGGAAUAUUAAUUGACAUGUGGCAUGUU